Molecule: transfer RNA, 73 nt
Filed under: Alphaproteobacteria bacterium
Lineage: Bacteria; Pseudomonadati; Pseudomonadota; Alphaproteobacteria
Description: tRNA-Met
Rfam family: tRNA
About the family: Transfer RNA (tRNA) molecules are approximately 80 nucleotides in length.
Source: RNAcentral
AGCGGGGUGGAGCAGUCAGUAGCUCGCCGGGCUCAUAACCCGGAGGUCGCCGGUGCGAAUCCGGCCCCCGCCA